UACAGAGGCCCCAAGCAUUAUCCGGAUUUACUGGGCGUAAAGGGUGCGUAGGCGGUGUGAUUAGUCGGGUGUUAAAUCCUGGGGCUCAACCUCAGAAUCGCAUUCGAAACGGUCAUACUAGAAGGUGUGAGAGGUAAGCAGAACUCAGGGUGUAGGGGUGAAAUCCGUUGAUAUCCUGGGGAAUACCAAAUGCGAAGGCAGCUUACUGGCACAUUCUUGACGCUGAGGCACGAAAGCGUGGGUAGCGAAUCGG
RNAcentral lists this ribosomal RNA (253 nucleotides) under uncultured bacterium. RNAcentral's name for it is "partial 16S ribosomal RNA". It matches the Rfam family "Bacterial small subunit ribosomal RNA", at positions 524 to 776 of the family's 1533-position model. The record is from RNAcentral.